This is a non-coding RNA of Cinara cedri, 297 nucleotides long. Lineage: Eukaryota; Metazoa; Arthropoda; Insecta; Hemiptera; Aphididae. The record is from the annotation of a GenBank genome assembly.
CUCCACUCAGAAUCGUUUUUUGUCAGCAAUGGUUAUCGUUGCUUAGAGAUAUAUAUUAAAUUCCCUUCUAUAUUCUACAUUCCCAACUUCCCACCUACAACAGUGGCUGCACCCACGUGCAAAGUAUAUCCGUCUUUUAUAUCUUUUAUACGUAGUAAUUUCUUCUUCGUUACUGGCAUUUAAUAAUUAAGAGUUUUUACCGGAAUCACGAUCUCCCUCUAUUUUUCUCAAUCCUGAACUAAUUCUCUCCAAUCUUGUUCUCCCAUCCUGUUAAAGUCCUCCUCCACAACAUCCAAU